GAUGAACGCUAGCGGGAGGCCUAACACAUGCAAGCCGAGCGGUAUUGUUUCUUCGGAAAUGAGAGAGCGGCGUACGGUGCGGAACACGUGUGCAACCUGCCUUUAUCUGGGGAUAGCCUUUCGAAAGGAAGAUUAACACUCCAUAAUAUAUUGAUUGGCAUCAAUUAAUAUUGAAAGCUCCGGCGGAUAGAGAUGGGCACGCGCAAGAUUAGCUAGUUGGUGAGGUAACGGCUCACCAAGGCGAUGAUCUUUAGGGGGCCUGAGAGGGUGAUCCCCACACUGGUACUGAGACACGGACCAGACUCCUACGGGAGCAGCAGUGAGGAAUAUUGGUCAAUGGGUGCAAGCCUGAACCAGCCAUCCCGCGUGAAGGACGACUGCCCUAUGGGUUGUAAACUUCUUUUGUAUAGGGAUAAACCUACCCUCGUGAGGGUAGCUGAAGGUACUAUACGAAUAAGCACCGGCUAACUCCGUGCCAGCAGCCGCGGUAAU
This 492-nucleotide ribosomal RNA is filed under the name uncultured bacterium. RNAcentral's name for it is "bacterial SSU rRNA". It matches the Rfam family "Bacterial small subunit ribosomal RNA", at positions 28 to 524 of the family's 1533-position model. The record is from RNAcentral.